AGAGUUUGAUCCUGGCUCAGGACGAACGCUGGCGGCACGCUUAACACAUGCAAGUCGAACGAGAGAAGAGGAGCUUGCUUUUCUGAUCUAGUGGCGGACGGGUGAGUAACACGUGAGCAAUCUGCCUUUCAGAGGGGGAUACCGAUUGGAAACGAUCGUUAAUACCGCAUAACAUAAUUGAACCGCAUGAUUUGAUUAUCAAAGAUUUAUCGCUGAAAGAUGAGCUCGCGUCUGAUUAGCUAGUUGGUAAGGUAACGGCUUACCAAGGCGACGAUCAGUAGCCGGACUGAGAGGUUGAUCGGCCACAUUGGGACUGAGACACGGCCCAGACUCCUACGGGAGGCAGCAGUGGGGAAUAUUGCACAAUGGAGGAAACUCUGAUGCAGCGAUGCCGCGUGAGGGAAGAAGGUUUUAGGAUUGUAAACCUCUGUCUUCAGGGACGAAAAAAGACGGUACCUGAGGAGGAAGCUCCGGCUAACUACGUGCCAGCAGCCGCGGUAAUACGUAGGGAGCGAGCGUUGUCCGGAAUUACUGGGUGUAAAGGGAGCGUAGGCGGGAUCGCAAGUCAGAUGUGAAAACUAUGGGCUUAACCCAUAAACUGCAUUUGAAACUGUGGUUCUUGAGUGAAGUAGAGGUAAGCGGAAUUCCUAGUGUAGCGGUGAAAUGCGUAGAUAUUAGGAGGAACAUCAGUGGCGAAGGCGGCUUACUGGGCUUUAACUGACGCUGAGGCUCGAAAGCGUGGGGAGCAAACAGGAUUAGAUACCCUGGUAGUCCACGCCGUAAACGAUGAUUACUAGGUGUGGGGGGACUGACCCCUUCCGUGCCGCAGCAAACGCAAUAAGUAAUCCACCUGGGGAGUACGACCGCAAGGUUGAAACUCAAAGGAAUUGACGGGGGCCCGCACAAGCAGUGGAGUAUGUGGAUUAAUUCGAAGCAACGCGAAGAACCUUACCAGGUCUUGACAUCGUAUGCAUAGCUCAGAGAUGAGUGAAAUCUCUUCGGAGACAUAUAGACAGGUGGUGCAUGGUUGUCGUCAGCUCGUGUCGUGAGAUGUUGGGUUAAGUCCCGCAACGAGCGCAACCCUUACUGUUAGUUGCUACGCAAGAGCACUCUAGCAGGACUGCCGUUGACAAAACGGAGGAAGGUGGGGAUGACGUCAAAUCAUCAUGCCCCUUAUGACCUGGGCCUCACACGUACUACAAUGGCUGUCAACAGAGGGAAGCAAAGCCGCGAGGUGGAGCGAACCCCUAAAAGCAGUCUUAGUUCGGAUUGUAGGCUGCAACCCGCCUACAUGAAGUCGGAAUUGCUAGUAAUCGCAGAUCAGCAUGCUGCGGUGAAUACGUUCCCGGGCCUUGUACACACCGCCCGUCACGCCAUGGGAGUCGGUAACACCCAAAGCCUGUAGUCUAACCGCAAGGAGGACGCAGUCGAAGGUGGGAUUGAUGACUGGGGUGAAGUCGUAACAAGGUA
This 1470-nucleotide ribosomal RNA is filed under the name metagenome. RNAcentral describes it as "bacterial SSU rRNA". It matches the Rfam family "Bacterial small subunit ribosomal RNA". The record is from RNAcentral.